Molecule: unclassified non-coding RNA, 556 nt
Filed under: Hevea brasiliensis (rubber tree)
Lineage: Eukaryota; Viridiplantae; Streptophyta; Magnoliopsida; Malpighiales; Euphorbiaceae
Source: RNAcentral
AGCUUAGAGGUCCAACCUAAAUUAUACAGACAUAUAGCAAGCAAUUGUCUAUAAUGUCUUUUGAAACAGAUCGUCUAAAGUCCAAUGGAUCGUGGGAUCUAAGCACUCUGAAAGUUAAAGCUACAUUUCGACCAGCUAUCUGGUUCGAACAAACCUAAUUUAUCUGUCACCUCCAGACAAUUGAUGAAGCAUCACCUGUGGUCAAUCUUCAAUCAAUUAUAGAUACGCCAAACUCCAGAAACCGCAUCAGAGAAAUGUUUACAAACAGAGGAUAUAGCUGCAUAAAAAUGCAUUCACAGGAGCAGCACCGCGUCAUUAGUUCAUCCAUUAAUACACCUAACACUUCCCUCUCUUUAUGUGCUCUCAUUCACCUGUGAGAUUUAAAUUUAGACUGGUAGUCCUUUGCCUGGGUAUUCAGACCUGGAUUUUGAGAAACAACACUACUGCAACCUGGUAUGCUGUUAUUGCCAUUGGGCAAAAAGGUCAAACCUGGAUUUUGAGAAACAACACUACUGCAACCUGGUAUGCUGUUAUUGCCAUUGGGCAAAAAGGUCAA